RNAcentral lists this unclassified non-coding RNA (549 nucleotides) under Trichoderma koningiopsis. RNAcentral describes it as "partial contains 18S rRNA, ITS1, 5.8S rRNA, ITS2 and 28S RNA". The stretch from base 190 to 343 matches the Rfam family "5.8S ribosomal RNA". Lineage: Eukaryota; Fungi; Ascomycota; Sordariomycetes; Hypocreales; Hypocreaceae. The record is from RNAcentral.
CAUUACCGAGUUUACAACUCCCAAACCCAAUGUGAACCAUACCAAACUGUUGCCUCGGCGGGGUCACGCCCCGGGUGCGUCGCAGCCCCGGAACCAGGCGCCCGCCGGAGGGACCAACCAAACUCUUUCUGUAGUCCCCUCGCGGACGUUAUUUCUUACAGCUCUGAGCAAAAAUUCAAAAUGAAUCAAAACUUUCAACAACGGAUCUCUUGGUUCUGGCAUCGAUGAAGAACGCAGCGAAAUGCGAUAAGUAAUGUGAAUUGCAGAAUUCAGUGAAUCAUCGAAUCUUUGAACGCACAUUGCGCCCGCCAGUAUUCUGGCGGGCAUGCCUGUCCGAGCGUCAUUUCAACCCUCGAACCCCUCCGGGGGGUCGGCGUUGGGGAUCGGGAACCCCUAAGACGGGAUCCCGGCCCCGAAAUACAGUGGCGGUCUCGCCGCAGCCUCUCCUGCGCAGUAGUUUGCACAACUCGCACCGGGAGCGCGGCGCGUCCACGUCCGUAAAACACCCAACUUCUGAAAUGUUGACCUCGGAUCAGGUAGGAAUACCCG